RNAcentral lists this ribosomal RNA (253 nucleotides) under uncultured bacterium. RNAcentral's name for it is "partial 16S ribosomal RNA". It matches the Rfam family "Bacterial small subunit ribosomal RNA", at positions 524 to 776 of the family's 1533-position model. The record is from RNAcentral.
UACGAAGGGGGCUAGCGUUGUUCGGAAUUACUGGGCGUAAAGCGCACGUAGGCGGCUUUUUAAGUCAGGGGUGAAAUCCUGGAGCUCAACUCCAGAACUGCCUUUGAUACUGGGAAGCUUGAGUCCGGAAGAGGUGAGUGGAACUCCGAGUGUAGAGGUGAAAUUCGUAGAUAUUCGGAAGAACACCAGUGGCGAAGGCGGCUCACUGGUCCGGUACUGACGCUGAGGUGCGAAAGCGUGGGGAGCAAACAGG